GAUGAACGCUGGCGGCGUGCCUAAUACAUGCAAGUCGAGCGAACAGACGAGGAGCUUGCUCCUCUGACGUUAGCGGCGGACGGGUGAGUAACACGUGGAUAACCUACCUAUAAGACUGGGAUAACUUCGGGAAACCGGAGCUAAUACCGGAUAAUAUAUUGAACCGCAUGGUUCAAUAGUGAAAGACGGUUUUGCUGUCACUUAUAGAUGGAUCCGCGCCGCAUUAGCUAGUUGGUAAGGUAACGGCUUACCAAGGCAACGAGGCGUAGCCGACCUGAGAGGGUGAUCGGCCACACUGGAACUGAGACACGGUCCAGACUCCUACGGGAGGCAGCAGUAGGGAAUCUUCCGCAAUGGGCGAAGGCCUGACGGAGCAACGCCGCGUGAGUGAUGAAGGUCUUCGGAUCGUAAAACUCUGUUAUUAGGGAAGAACAAAUGUGUAAGUAACUAUGCACGUCUUGACGGUACCUAAUCAGAAAGCCACGGCUAACUACGUG
RNAcentral lists this ribosomal RNA (497 nucleotides) under uncultured bacterium. RNAcentral's name for it is "partial 16S ribosomal RNA". It matches the Rfam family "Bacterial small subunit ribosomal RNA", at positions 28 to 507 of the family's 1533-position model. The record is from RNAcentral.